This 366-nucleotide ribosomal RNA is filed under the name uncultured organism. RNAcentral describes it as "bacterial SSU rRNA". It matches the Rfam family "Bacterial small subunit ribosomal RNA", at positions 526 to 896 of the family's 1533-position model. The record is from RNAcentral.
CGGAGGAUCCAAGCGUUAUCCGGAAUCAUUGGGUUUAAAGGGUCCGUAGGCGGUUUAGUAAGUCAGUGGUAGAAAGCCCAUCGCUCAACGGUGGAACGGCAUUGAUACUGCUAGACUUGAAUUAUUAGGAAGUAACUAGAAUAUGUAGUGUAGCGGUGAAAUGCUUAGAGAUUACAUGGAAUACCAAUUGCGAAGGCAGGUUACUACUAAUGGAUUGACGCUGAUGGACGAAAGCGUGGGUAGCGAACAGGAUUAGAUACCCUGGUAGUCCACGCCGUAAACGAUGGAUACUAGCUGUUGGGAGCGAUCUCAGUGGCUAAGCGAAAGUGAUAAGUAUCCCACCUGGGGAGUACGUUCGCAAGAAUG